GAAUUCGCCCUUAGAGUUUGAUCCUGGCUCAGGACGAACGCUGGCGGCGUGCCUAACACAUGCAAGUCGAACGAAGCUCUGCGAUACAAGACUUCGGUCAAGUUGAACGGAUGACUUAGUGGCGGACGGGUGAGUAACGCGUGAGGAACCUGCCUUUCAGUGGGGGACAACAGUUGGAAACGACUGCUAAUACCGCAUAAUGUAUUCUGACCGCAUGAUCGGAAUACCAAAGAUUUAUUGCUGAAAGAUGGCCUCGCGUCUGAUUAGAUAGUUGGUGAGGUAACGGCCCACCAAGUCGACGAUCAGUAGCCGGACUGAGAGGUUGAACGGCCACAUUGGGACUGAGAUACGGCCCAGACUCCUACGGGAGGCAGCAGUGGGGAAUAUUGCACAAUGGGGGAAACCCUGAUGUAGCGACGCCGCGUGGAGGAAGAAGGUCUUCGGAUUGUAAACUCCUGUUGUUGAGGAAGAUAAUGACGGUACUCAACAAGGAAGUGACGGCUAACUACGUGCCAGCAGCCGCGGUAAAACGUAGGUCACAAGCGUUGUCCGGAAUUACUGGGUGUAAAGGGAGCGCAGGCGGGAAGACAAGUUGGAAGUGAAAUCUAUGGGCUCAACCCAUAAACUGCUUUCAAAACUGUUUUUCUUGAGUAGUGCAGAGGUAGGCGGAAUUCCCGGUGUAGCGGUGGAAUGCGUAGAUAUCGGGAGGAACACCAGUGGCGAAGGCGGAUUGCUGGACGACAACUGACGGUGAGGCGCGAAAGCGUGGGGAGCAGACAGGAUUAGAUACCCUGGUAGUCCACGCUGUAAACGAU
This 815-nucleotide ribosomal RNA is filed under the name uncultured bacterium. RNAcentral's name for it is "bacterial SSU rRNA". It matches the Rfam family "Bacterial small subunit ribosomal RNA", at positions 1 to 810 of the family's 1533-position model. The record is from RNAcentral.